Molecule: non-coding RNA, 48 nt
Filed under: Trichobilharzia regenti
Lineage: Eukaryota; Metazoa; Platyhelminthes; Trematoda; Strigeidida; Schistosomatidae
Source: RNAcentral
AUCCAGAUGACGAGUUUAAAAUAGGACGAAGUGCGGAGCAUCCUGGAU